AGGCAGCAGUAGGGAAUUUUCCACAAUGGGCGAAAGCCUGAUGGAGCAACGCCGCGUGAGGGAUGAAGGUCUUCGGAUUGUAAACCUCUUUGGAGUGGGAAGAACGAUUCCGGUGUUAACAGCGCCGGGAAGUGACGGUACCACUAGAACAAGACACGGCUAACUCU
Molecule: ribosomal RNA, 167 nt
Filed under: uncultured bacterium
Lineage: Bacteria
Description: partial 16S ribosomal RNA
Rfam family: Bacterial small subunit ribosomal RNA
Source: RNAcentral